RNAcentral lists this small nuclear RNA (19 nucleotides) under Arabidopsis thaliana (thale cress). RNAcentral describes it as "snRNA_18777". The record is from RNAcentral. Lineage: Eukaryota; Viridiplantae; Streptophyta; Magnoliopsida; Brassicales; Brassicaceae.
CGAAGAAUGGCGCAACAAG